This 305-nucleotide ribosomal RNA is filed under the name uncultured bacterium. Its description in RNAcentral is "bacterial SSU rRNA". It matches the Rfam family "Bacterial small subunit ribosomal RNA", at positions 333 to 653 of the family's 1533-position model. The record is from RNAcentral.
UGCUUCCUACGGGAGGCAGCAGUGGGGAAUAUUGCACAAUGGGGGAAACCCUGAUGCAGCAACGCCGCGUGAAGGAAGAAGGCUUUCGGGUUGUAAACUUCUUUUAAGGGGGAAGAGCAGAAGACGGUACCCCUUGAAUAAGCCACGGCUAACUACGUGCCAGCAGCCGCGGUAAUACGUAGGUGGCAAGCGUUGUCCGGAUUUACUGGGUGUAAAGGGCGUGCAGCCGGAGGGACAAGUCAGAUGUGAAAUCCACGGGCUCAACCCGUGAACUGCAUUUGAAACUGUUUCCCUUGAGUGUCGGG